Molecule: ribosomal RNA, 714 nt
Filed under: Triticum aestivum (bread wheat)
Lineage: Eukaryota; Viridiplantae; Streptophyta; Magnoliopsida; Poales; Poaceae
Description: partial small subunit ribosomal RNA
Source: RNAcentral
GACGACGCCCUAGCUCCCUCCGCCCGCGGGUCGCCCGCUCCCUCGCGCCCCUGUUGCUCCCUCCUCGAUCCCGAUCUGGAUCGAGGGGACGAGGAGCUCCUGCCUCCCCGACGGCCGACCUCCUCCUCGCCCCGCCGCUGCGUCCGGCGCCGCCACGGCCUCUGGAGCCAGGGAAGCCAUGGCCUGAGCUCGGCCUCGAGGUCCCCGCCGCCGUCUCCUGCAGCUUCUGCCCCGCCGCCUCACCGCCCGAGCUCGCCGUCGCACCAACCUCGGCGCCGCGCCGCCGCCGGCUCUGGUCGCCUCCACCUCCGCGCCAUGAGGAACCCGCCACACGCGUCAAGGCGAGGCGCCUCCUGGGCUCCGUCCGUUUCCAGAGCGAGCGCCCGCGAAUACCUAGCUAGCCGCCGCCGUCGUGACCGUUCCAGCCACCGCCAAGGCCACACUUCCUCUUCCACCUCCGCGUACUCCUGGUUGCAGCCCCAGCUCUUCACGGGCAGGGAUCUGCGGCUCGCCGGCGUGGCCCGUGGCAGGGGAGAGAAGGGGGGCAUGAUCGGCGGGGCAGAGUUCUUUCGGAAGGACAGCGUGGUGGGCAACAUGGACGGAUACCUCAACUACCUGUCCCUCGAGUAUGACUUCGUCUCGGACACCAAUCCUGCUUGGGUAUCUUCAUUUUGGAAGCAGGAAUCCUUUCCUCAUAAGAUGGAUGAGCUGUAG